Molecule: ribosomal RNA, 379 nt
Filed under: uncultured bacterium
Lineage: Bacteria
Description: partial 16S ribosomal RNA
Rfam family: Bacterial small subunit ribosomal RNA
Source: RNAcentral
CCUACGGGAGGCAGCAGUGGGGAAUAUUGCACAAUGGGGGAAACCCUGAUGCAGCGAUGCCGCGUGAGUGAAGAAGUACUUCGUUAUGUAAAGUUCUAUCAGCAGGGAAGAAAAUGACGGUACCUGAGUAAGAAGCCACGGCUAACUCCGUGACAGCAGCCGCGGUAAUACGUAGGGGGCAAGCGUUAUCCGGAUUUACUGGGUGUAAAGCGAGCGUAGACGGCUGGGCAAGUCUGGAGUGAAAGUCGGGGGCUCAACCCCCGGACUGCUCUGGAGACUGUACGGCUUGAGUGCAGUAGAGGGAAGUAGAAUUCCAGGUGUAGCGGUGAAAUGCGUAGAGAUUAGGAGGAACACCAGUGGCGAAGGCGGCUUCCUGGAC